This is a long non-coding RNA of Frankliniella occidentalis (western flower thrips), 1710 nucleotides long. RefSeq lists it as uncharacterized. NCBI's taxonomy places the organism in Eukaryota, Metazoa, Arthropoda, Insecta, Thysanoptera, Thripidae. The record is from RefSeq and is a predicted model, not a curated record. The transcript has 2 exons.
UGUAUGCAGAGUUUCCGCUUUAGCCCUUAGCUUUGGCUUGUUGGGUUUUCAGUGUAUUCCCAUUGGGUUAUAUCUUUGGCACUUUGAGUGGACUUGAUGUGUUUGAAUACUUUUCUAUCUGAGUUAAUUCUUAGUUACUUCAACUUUUGUAUUUUAUAGUGUUUAGCGUUGCUUUGGUGAUGUUUGAUUUUACCUGACUUUGUCUAAUUCACUCUUGUGUUUUGCGCUUGAUUCACUUUCUGAUUUGCACUAUAAUGAUGCUUGGAGAUAUGGCAUGGUGUGUUUGAUGCUUUUGUUUCUUUUUGCUGCUGAUUUGUCAACUAUGCUUUUACAAGUGUGAGUACAUUUGGGCGGGUUAUUAACUUGGCAAAUUAAUUUAGGGCAGGAUAGGUUAAUUGUGUAUCAGGGCUGGCCACCUUGGUCGUUUACUUUUGUAAGUCCUAUCCGCUAUAUUAUUUGUGUAUCGGGACAUUUUGACCUUUGGGGUCAGUUUAAUAGAUGUCAACGGAUGUCUGUUUUGACUUAUCUUUCAUAGUCUUCCCAGUUGGGGAUUUUUGUAGACAUGAUAUGUUUAAAUCUUUUGCUACUUUCACUUGUGAGUUGUGGCGGUCCAUUUGAAGUUAAUAAUCUUAGGGUUUACCUUAUUUGGUAAUUAUAGGUUUGAUUAGGCCUCUGGUUUCACCAUUAUGUUGUGACGAUGGAAAUUAAUCCCUCUCAAGGCUAGUGUGUUUAUAGUUUAUCUGUGGCACACUCUGAGUAGGUUUUCGUGUAUCAUGCUUGUGGAACUUAUCGAUUUCUGUUUCAAGAUCUGUUUUAUCAGAGCAGCAGUUUGGUUUAUGCAGUCAGCAUAAGUCCUUUCAAUUGGUUUGCAUUUUAUUUGAGGCAUUAUUAUUGUUUUGUGUUGUGAAUGAACUUGACGUUGGUCUUUAACAUUUAGCUUUGGGCAUUUUCUAUUCUCAUUAUUUUGGGGGGGUAAUAGUCAUCCAAGGCUCCUAUCUUGUGCUAUAGCACUUUUAAUUUCUUUCUUCCUUUUUUUUUGGAGAGUAGCUUACAAUCUUUUUGGUCGGGGGGGAUGUUACGGUUCCCCGUAACUUUUGUUUUCUAACAAACCUGACACGGAGGCGCCUGGAGCAUAGGCAGCCCGAUCUACCACGUGCCCGGUCUCGCGGCGGAGUGGCAGUUGCCCGCCUAGUGCGUAGGCAACCCUUUACGCCAUAGUUCCCUGCUUGGCCGGGAGAUGGGUCUGCCCUUGCACCGGGUCGCUUCCGCUUGUCCCCUCCCCCUUCCACCUUUCUCGCUCAGCUGGUUCGGUCCCCGGCUCGGUGUGUCAGAGCUGAACUGAACACCGACCCGGGCGAACCACCAGCUCCGCACAACAUCUCACUUUUCCCCGGGUCUAUUCUUGUCGGGCAAGACUUAGACGCCUGCAUCAUGACUGGCUUUGAGCCAAUGGUUUCAUGGAGACCUUUUUGAUUGGAUGUUUCUCCUCGCCUGCCAUGUCGUCUAACCUCAAGUUCAUCACUCAACUGGAGUUCAAUCGUGCUGACGUUUAUGUAUCGGAUUCUUCCGGAUUUGUGUAUCUUUGUGUACCGUAACGAGUGGCCAUGGUGCCCUUCAAUGCCGUUGUGCUGUCUUUCGGGACUUCCUAGUUGUUUGAGCCUCUCUGCCAUUGUGCCUCAAGUCUGUAUGUAAUAAACUGUGAUAUUGCAA